This 69-nucleotide transfer RNA is filed under the name Cynoglossus zanzibarensis (Zanzibar tonguesole). Its description in RNAcentral is "tRNA-Phe". It matches the Rfam family "tRNA". Rfam says of the family: Transfer RNA (tRNA) molecules are approximately 80 nucleotides in length. Their secondary structure includes four short double-helical elements and three loops (D, anti-codon, and T loops). Further hydrogen bonds mediate the characteristic L-shaped molecular structure. tRNAs have two regions of fundamental functional importance: the anti-codon, which is responsible for specific mRNA codon recognition, and the 3' end, to which the tRNAs corresponding amino acid is attached (by aminoacyl-tRNA synthetases). tRNAs cope with the degeneracy of the genetic code in two manners: having more than one tRNA (with a specific anti-codon) for a particular amino acid; and 'wobble' base-pairing, i.e. permitting non-standard base-pairing at the 3rd anti-codon position. Lineage: Eukaryota; Metazoa; Chordata; Actinopteri; Pleuronectiformes; Cynoglossidae. The record is from RNAcentral.
GCUAAUGUAGCUUAAAUAAAAGCAUAACACUGAAGAUGUUAAGUUGGACCCUUAAAAGUCUCGUUAACA